This 30-nucleotide non-coding RNA is filed under the name Homo sapiens (human). The record is from RNAcentral. Lineage: Eukaryota; Metazoa; Chordata; Mammalia; Primates; Hominidae.
UUCUCUCCGAGCAUGUGGGUCUCGCUGAGC